RNAcentral lists this ribosomal RNA (246 nucleotides) under uncultured bacterium. Its description in RNAcentral is "partial 16S ribosomal RNA". It matches the Rfam family "Bacterial small subunit ribosomal RNA", at positions 86 to 334 of the family's 1533-position model. The record is from RNAcentral.
AGAUGGCGACCGGCGCACGGGUGAGUAACACGUAUCCAACCUGCCGAUAACUCGGGGAUAGCCUUUCGAAAGAAAGAUUAAUACCCGAUGGCAUAAUUAGACCGCAUGGCUUAUUAUUAAAGAAUUUCGGUUAUCGAUGGGGAUGCGUUCCAUUAGGCAGUUGGUGAGGUAACGGCUCACCAAACCUUCGAUGGAUAGGGGUUCUGAGAGGAAGGUCCCCCACAUUGGAACUGAGACACGGUCCAA